GUGGUGUUACCGAACCUCCUGUGGGGAAUUGCAAAACUGCGUGGUUUGACCGUGAUAACCCAUCAGGAAAUGGAGAUUAUGAAAUCUUCCCCAAUCUGCGAACUGAGAAUCCUGGUCAGAUCUGCAUGGAUCCAAUCGCCUGUGAGGUGGAGACAACGUCAGGGAUUCCGGCCUCACAGACUGGAGAGAACAUUGCCAGGUACAAAAUAGAGCCAGCCAUAUUAUAGCACUUUUAUUAUUUCAUUCAAAGUGCAUCAGUAGUUUUAUCAACAACUUUAUCAUAUGUCCCUACAUUCUACUCAACAGUUGCAACGUUAUUACUGGAUUCUUUUGUGUGAACAGCAACCAACGUGAUCGCGCAUGUCAAGAUUACAGAAUACGAUUCACCUGCCCUGAUUCCUUUUGUGGUGUUACCGAACCUCCUGGUGAGUAUAUCGAUCCCAUUAUAAAGAGGGCAAUGUUAACAGUAAUAUGAAAGCUCUUAUGAGUUUCAUACAGUAUGUUUUAAUGUCCGCUACAUAAUAACUAAGUUAAAACACUGGCAUAACAGAUUAUAGGCGCUUCAGUGCGACUGAACCUCAAGAGUUGCUUGUAGUUAUCAGCUUAUUAAGGAAACAAAAUGUGUCCAUGUCAUGGAGUGAAUGCAAAACAGAUUCAUGGGAAAGGUGGCAGAAAUUGUGAUUUAGCCACAUGAGAAGAAAUUGCAAAGACUAGGAAUACAAACUACAGCAGAUAUGGAUUACAAAAUGCUGGAAUAACAGAACGUAUCAGGCAUCAUCUCCGAGAUCAUGAAUAGGUCCUGUUUCGAUUCGGGACCCAUCUUCAGACUAGAACCUUUUUCUCUAGGGAUUGUAGAAUGGGAAGUCGUCUCUGACUCCUGCUCCUAAUUCUAACUUUCUUUUCUGAUAUUCUGAUUUAUUUGUUAGAAGGUAACUAGAGUACUCAUAAAAACUUUGUGUGGUGUUAAUUCAUCGUAAAGGCCUGUCAUUUCUGUGAUCAUCUUUUCCCCUCUCUUGAACAAAGGAGUAACUUCUGCGUUUCUCCGGUCCUCUGACAUCACUUGUUCACUUGAGGAAAGUGACUCACGUAAGAGUAAUUUGAGUAUUCUGCCAGGCAUGAUUCAGGAUUGCAGAAUGUGGGAUUGUCACGAGGAGGACCAGGAAAACUAGACAUGGAUUUCGUAGGAAUUCUGGGACAUGGUACCAGGCUGGUAAUUUAUAAAGUUUGGAUUUUAUUGAGGAGAGAGGGAUGGCGAUUGAUGUGAAGGGGUCAGGACCAAUGGCAGCAGUGAGAGGAAACAGUCACCAACAUCAGCAAAUAUGGGGCAAGAAGAAAUAAGUGAAGUGAUGUGCAGAACAGUGAACAAGGUGGAGGGAGCUGGAACUAGGUCUCAUGUACUUGAGUAUAUGAUGCGUUCUGAUGAGAAAUAUUGUUCAUGUAAGUUGUGCCCAACGGUUAGCAAAUCGAUCAGGUCUCUCUGUCUCGACAUGAAAGGUAACCUAUUCCUUACCUCUAGAGAUGCUACCUGGAGCUAAUUUGCUCCAUAAUUUUGUGUCAAUCUGUCAGACCCAAUGUUUACUUUCAAUCUACUUUCUCUUUCUGCUCUUCUUCAGUAGGGAAUUGCAAAACUGCAUGGUUUGACCGUGAUAACCCAUCAGGAAAUGGAGAUUAUGAAAUCUUCCCCAAUCUGCGAACUGAGAAUCCCGGUCAGAUCUGCACGGAUCCAAUCGCCUGUGAGGUGGAGACAACGUCAGGGAUUCAGGCCUCACAGACUGGAGAGAACAUUGCCAGUUGCAACGUUUCUACUGGAUUCUUUUGU
This is a long non-coding RNA of Leucoraja erinaceus (little skate), 1819 nucleotides long. RefSeq lists it as uncharacterized. The record is from RefSeq and is a predicted model, not a curated record. NCBI's taxonomy places the organism in Eukaryota, Metazoa, Chordata, Chondrichthyes, Rajiformes, Rajidae. The transcript has 4 exons.